AUUGAACGCUGGCGGCAGGCCUAACACAUGCAAGUCGAACGGUAACAGGAAACAGCUUGCUGUUUCGCUGACGAGUGGCGGACGGGUGAGUAAUGUCUGGGAAACUGCCUGAUGGAGGGGGAUAACUACUGGAAACGGUAGCUAAUACCGCAUAACGUCGCAAGACCAAAGAGGGGGACCCUCGGGCCUCUUUCCAUCGGAUGUGCCCAGAUGGGAUUCGCUUGUUGGUGGGGUAACGGCUCACCAAGGCGGCGAUCCCUAGCUGGUCUGAGAGGAUGACCAGCCACACUGGAACUGAGACACGGACCAGACUCCUACGGGAGGCAGCAGUGGGGAAUAUUGCACAGUGGGCGCAAGCCUGAUGCAGCCAUGCCGAGUGUAUGAAGAAGGCCUUCGGGUUGUAAAGUCCUUUCAGCGGGGAGGAAGGGAGUAAAGUUAAUACCUUGGCUCAUUGACGUUACCCGCAGAAGAAGCACCGGCUAACUCCGUG
Molecule: ribosomal RNA, 490 nt
Filed under: uncultured bacterium
Lineage: Bacteria
Description: partial 16S ribosomal RNA
Rfam family: Bacterial small subunit ribosomal RNA
Source: RNAcentral